AACGAACGCUGGCGGCAGGCCUAACACAUGCAAGUCGAGCGAGGACUUCGGUUCUAGCGGCGGACGGGUGAGUAACGCGUGGGAAUGUGCCCUUCUCUACGGAAUAGCCCUGGGAAACUGGGAGUAAUACCGUAUACGCCCUUUUGGGGAAAGAUUUAUCGGGGAAGGAUCAGCCCGCGUUGGAUUAGGUAGUUGGUGGGGUAAUGGCCUACCAAGCCGACGAUCCAUAGCUGGUUUGAGAGGAUGAUCAGCCACACUGGGACUGAGACACGGCCCAGACUCCGACGGGAGGCAGCAGUGGGGAAUAUUAGAAAAUGGGGGCAAACCUGAACAAGCCAUGCCGCGUGAGUGAUGAAGGCCUUAGGGUAGUAAAGCUCUUUCAGCUGGGAAGAUAAUGACGGUACCAGCAGAAGAAGCCCCGGCUAACUCCGUG
RNAcentral lists this ribosomal RNA (433 nucleotides) under uncultured bacterium. Its description in RNAcentral is "partial 16S ribosomal RNA". It matches the Rfam family "Bacterial small subunit ribosomal RNA", at positions 29 to 507 of the family's 1533-position model. The record is from RNAcentral.